CAAUAUAAGUGAUGGCGACCGGCGCACGGGUGAGUAACACGUAUCCAACCUGCCGAUAACUCGGGGAUAGCCUUUCGAAAGAAAGAUUAAUACCCGAUGGUAUAAUAAAACCGCAUGGUUUAAUUAUUAAAGAAUUUCGGUUAUCGAUGGGGAUGCGUUCCAUUAGGCAGUUGGUGAGGUAACGGCUCACCAAACCUUCGAUGGAUAGGGGUUCUGAGAGGAAGGUCCCCCACAUUGGAACUGGGACACGGUCCAA
RNAcentral lists this ribosomal RNA (256 nucleotides) under uncultured bacterium. RNAcentral's name for it is "partial 16S ribosomal RNA". It matches the Rfam family "Bacterial small subunit ribosomal RNA", at positions 74 to 334 of the family's 1533-position model. The record is from RNAcentral.